AUUGAACGCUGGCGGCAGGCCUAACACAUGCAAGUCGAGCGAGCGGCGGACGGGUGAGUAAUGUAUGGGGCUUGCCCGAUAGAGGGGGAUAACAACUGAAAACGGUGGCUAAUACCGCAUACUAUCGGAUAACACAUAUGGGAUUAGCUAGUAGGUGGGGUAAAGGCUCACAUGGGCGACGAUCUCGAGCUGGUCUGGGAGGCUGAUGAGGCACACGGGGACGUGUACACGGCCCAGACUCCUCCGGAGGUGGCAGUGGGAAAUAUUGCCAAAUGGGCGCAAGCCUGAUGCAGCCAUGCCGCGUGUAUGAAGAAGUCCUUAGGGUUUUAAAGUACUUUCAGCGGGGAGGCGUUACCCGCAGAAGAAGCACCGGCUAACUCCGUGCCAGCAGCCGCGGUAAUUC
This 403-nucleotide ribosomal RNA is filed under the name uncultured bacterium. RNAcentral's name for it is "partial 16S ribosomal RNA". It matches the Rfam family "Bacterial small subunit ribosomal RNA", at positions 30 to 526 of the family's 1533-position model. The record is from RNAcentral.